This 351-nucleotide ribosomal RNA is filed under the name Triticum aestivum (bread wheat). RNAcentral's name for it is "partial small subunit ribosomal RNA". Lineage: Eukaryota; Viridiplantae; Streptophyta; Magnoliopsida; Poales; Poaceae. The record is from RNAcentral.
AUGUCUACCUCUGCCGCUCCGGUCUCCUCCGGCCUCAACUGCAACGUCUCCGAGCCGCUCACCCGGACGAACUAUGUCCUCUGGCGAGCCCAGGCGCGAUCCCAGAUAAUGGGCGCCGGCCUGUAUGGCUACAUCGACAAAACCACGGCAGAACCUCCCAAGAUCAUCACCACCAAGGACAAGGACGGCAAGGAUCAGGUGAUCACCAACCCUGCCUAUGCCCCCUGGUUAAUUCAAGAUCAACAGAUCGUCGCAUAUCUCCUUCGCAAUCUCUCCAAGGAGGUGCUGGUUCGGGUUGCAUCGAUGGAAACAUCACAUGCGAUUUGGACGGCCCUGAGCAACAUGUUCUCC